CCGGUGCUGUAUUCUGCCGCCCAUUUUACCCGCGGGGAAGCUGAGGCCCAGUGCUGUUUAAUAUCUUACUCAUGUUCACUUGAUGAGAAAGUGACAGAUCUGAGACAAACCCAGAUGGUGUGCUGCAUUCCCAUGGUUUUGGAUCCUGCAACCACUCUUGUUCCACGCAGAGGCCAGCCUGUGGGUUAGAGAGAUGCACAGAGAGGGACAAAGCCCGGAACAAUCACAGAGAAUCAAAGCACUCUGGUUAUACCUUGCCUUCCCUAAGCUGCUGAUGAAUUAGCAGAUCAAAUUCCAGAAAUAAUUCAACCUUCCACUGUUUUUUUUUUUUCACGCACGUGUCCCUUUGCCAGGCAGCCUUGCUGUAGUGCCUCUGUUUAAUAUUCCAUUUGUAAGAUGGGCAGCUCCAAGUCUAUGCUCACUCAGCUGCUCAUCAAGAAUAACAAGGUAAAUGACAAAGGAGGUAAGAAUGUCCUCGUCAAAUGUCCUAUGCUGUCACCUGCCAGAAAGCCCUCGGCAGUCAGUGUCCAAGAUGGCUCCCCACGCAGGAAUCUCUCUGAAGUGCUCUGUGAUCUCCACAACUAAAACAUAAUUUCUGGCUCCAGAGAGCUCUGGGGCUCUGUUCCCUUGUUCAGCCCGUGCUCCUGGUCAUCGUCAGCCCCAGGACUGAGGCUUGGACUGGCUCAGGGGCUGCUGUCUGUGAAAAUCAGAUUGAUGCAUCUGAUUACAUGGCCUGUUAACAUCUGCAAAAAAUAAGAUAAAAUAAGAAUUAUUUACCUGUCACAGCUUUGACACACCAUCACAAACUGGAGCUGACACCUCUUCUGUUCACCUUGGAGAGGUGCAGAGUGAAGAGCAGACCGUGACACACUUAAUAGAUUGCUGGGCAUUUACGGAGCUGCUUGUUACCCAGCUCAAGAGCCAUGUCCAACUGCUACAGCGUUCAUCAAAGACAAGAAGCCACAAGGAGCAAGUCAGUACUGCAAUUCAUUAAGGCAACUUGACCUCUGGGGAGAGGAGAAGAAAAAGGAACUAGCAGCAUUGAUUGCCUAUGUUUCCUGAAGUGUGGUGUCAUGGCAUAAAAUGACAUUGAAUCACAGGGUGAGAAAACCACGCAUUUCAGCUCUUGCUUGGCCUUUGAAGACGACAUAGGAAGUCUCUGCUGGUGCUAGUUGUCUUGAGCUUCUCUUUGACACCCUUUCCUAAUGCAAACAGAGUGGGCCUCAGCAUGGGAGCUUCUGCAGGUGACUCUGCUAAAAGAUCGACAGAAAAGAAAUGAGUCAACGAUGGUGCAGGUGAUCUGUGCAGUGCUGUGCAGGGGAUGGGUCAAAGCUGUGAUGCUGGCAUGCAACUAACUCACCAUUGUGAGCCAAUCACAAAAGCAGAAACUUGGCCAAGCUGAAAGGGACCAGCUUGACGAAGCUUCUGCUUUUGUGACUGUCUCCUAAUGCAGAAACCAGAGCACCUCAGAAGAUCAAGGCUUCCAAAUUCUCCUGGGGGAACAGACGUCAGCCAUUCAGCACAAAGGAAACUUCCUUCUCUGUAUGUCAGAGGAAGACAUAAUUGUGCCAUUUCCUUCUUGAAGAAGUUUACAAACAUUUGCAAGUUGUCAAAAAUAAUUAGUCUAAAAUUGUUUCAUAAACCGUGGAAUGAAACAGGACGUGCCUUGUUGAGAUCAAAGGGCUUCUGUUACCUUCUU
RNAcentral lists this long non-coding RNA (1699 nucleotides) under Homo sapiens (human). RNAcentral's name for it is "non-protein coding MIR646HG:10". The record is from RNAcentral. Lineage: Eukaryota; Metazoa; Chordata; Mammalia; Primates; Hominidae.